UACGUAGGGUGCAAGCGUUAAUCGGAAUUACUGGGCGUAAAGCGUGCGCAGGCGGUGAUGUAAGGCAGAUGUGAAAUCCCCGGGCUCAACCUGGGAACUGCAUUUGUGACUGCAUCGCUGGAGUGCGGCAGAGGGGGAUGGAAUUCCGCGUGUAGCAGUGAAAUGCGUAGAUAUGCGGAGGAACACCGAUGGCGAAGGCAAUCCCCUGGGCCUGCACUGACGCUCAUGCACGAAAGCGUGGGGAGCAAACAGG
This 253-nucleotide ribosomal RNA is filed under the name uncultured bacterium. Its description in RNAcentral is "partial 16S ribosomal RNA". It matches the Rfam family "Bacterial small subunit ribosomal RNA", at positions 524 to 776 of the family's 1533-position model. The record is from RNAcentral.